AAAGAAUAAAAGACAUGUCUCCAUCAAGGUUUCCAUCAGCAUAACUCACAAACUAACUGAUGGUCGCCAAUCACAGUUCACCACAUACAUACAGCAAAUUCAGGCACAAAAAUUGCACGAGCUUCUAAUGCGUCAUGCCUGGACCACCAAUAGGCAAUCAAACAUUUCCUUUAUUUAUUUAUUUCCUAAAAUUUUCUUAUGAAGAAUAAAUCCAAUCAGAGCAACUUAUCUUGUUGGUAAGGAAGUAGUCUC
RNAcentral lists this unclassified non-coding RNA (252 nucleotides) under Hevea brasiliensis (rubber tree). The record is from RNAcentral. Lineage: Eukaryota; Viridiplantae; Streptophyta; Magnoliopsida; Malpighiales; Euphorbiaceae.